GGCCCCGUAACAUAAGGGUAAAUGUGCUCGCCUCAUAAGCGAAGAAAAGCGGUUCGAGUCCGCUCGGGGCCA
Molecule: transfer RNA, 72 nt
Filed under: Aeromonas phage phiAS5
Lineage: Duplodnaviria; Heunggongvirae; Uroviricota; Caudoviricetes; Pantevenvirales; Straboviridae
Also listed under: 1 other name
Rfam family: tRNA
About the family: Transfer RNA (tRNA) molecules are approximately 80 nucleotides in length. Their secondary structure includes four short double-helical elements and three loops (D, anti-codon, and T loops).
Source: Rfam by way of RNAcentral